This is a long non-coding RNA of Rattus rattus (black rat), 1545 nucleotides long. RefSeq lists it as uncharacterized. NCBI's taxonomy places the organism in Eukaryota, Metazoa, Chordata, Mammalia, Rodentia, Muridae. The transcript is spliced from 3 exons. The record is from RefSeq and is a predicted model, not a curated record.
AAAAGGUGGAGCCGGUCAAGGCGCGGGGAGCUGCUGACAGGACCAGGUCAGAAGGGGCUCCCUGAGCUACGCUGCAGCCGGAGCGCCUGGGGCAGCACGAAGCAGCAGCUCGCGGCGUGCACGCUCCCCUCCGAGCCCGCUAGGGCACCUGCCCCGGAGCCCAGCAACUCUCGGCCGUGGUCCACGCACGCAUCUCCGAGGACCCCUUGCCUCACCUGCGCCUGCCACGCCCCGUCCUGCCGCCGGGAUGAGCGAGCUUAACACCAAAACACCUCCAGCAACCAGCCAGGCCUCUGACCCUGAGGAAAAAGGGAAACCUGGCAGCAUUAAGAAGGCCGAGGAGGAGGAAGAAAUUGACAUUGACUUAACGGCACCAGAGACAGAGAAGGCCGCCCUUGCAAUCCAGGGCAAGUUCCGGCGCUUCCAGAAGAGGAAAAAGGAUUCCAGUUCCUGAAUGACCAGGCUUCCCCUUCACCCUUCUACUUCCUCUGUCCCCUCCACAGCUCUGACUCUCACGUGUCUCGUCCCCUCAUCCCUCUAGCCUGUCCCUGAGGAGCUUACCCUUUAUAUAUUCUUGUCUCAGGCUCUCUUAAGCCAUCACAGUAGUAGAGGCACAAGGACAUGAGAAGGCCAAGACUCUAGUUGGUAGUCACUAGGCUAAGGGUGGAUCAGUCCAUUUAAGAGAACUAAAGGUUCUGAGGUUUGACUCUCCCCUUCACCUAGUGCUAAGGGGAAGAGGGGAAAGCCCUCAGAGUGCAGAGCCUCAAGGUGGGGCACAUGUAGGCUUCUGCCAGUUGCACCAUUAACACAUCAGGUGACACUUUCAGGUCCUUCUGCACAGCUCCUCCCAUCUCCAUGAUUCAGCCUCAGUGCAGCUGCCCUUUCUCCCGGGGAAGACCUGAAUCAAGAAGCUUGCAGAAUGUGGGGGUGCAUGCCUUUAGUCCCAGCACUUGGAAGGCAGAGGCAGCUGGAUCCUUGUGUGUUCAAGCCAGCCUGGGUGACAUAGUGAAUUCUAGGUUAGCCACGGUUACAAAACAAAAUAAAAACAAAAACAAAAUAAAAAAAACCCUGCCCAUGCAAAAAUAAAUAUAAAUAAAUAAAUAAGGCAGCUCAAUACAUUAGUGCAUGCUGAGUAGAUUCCUGCCAAGGAAAGAAAACUGGGGCUGGUAGAGACCAGGAAAAGCUUCCUUCAGGCUGAGGUCAGAGAAGCCAGAGAUGGCAGAAGGUUCAGGCCAGGAGAUGAAACUGAGAGACUUUUAGGAAGGGGGAAAAAAAAAAGCAGAGAAGGCCAAGAUGUCUGAAGCUAUAUGCUAUCAUUGUUAACUAAAUACUACAUGAGGGGCUCUCUGGCCUUUGCUAAUCUGCCUACCUCUUUACCCGUCCCCAUCUCUAGUCAUCCCUAGAGCCAUGUGAACCCAGUGACACCCCUGUAGUUCUCAGCCACCCCACUGUGGAGUCAGGGCAAACAUUGCCACUGUAUGUGACUUUAGCAUGUUUAAUAAUUAUGACAAUAAAAAAGCCUCAAAUGGGGGCAUUGAACCUCUA